This 253-nucleotide ribosomal RNA is filed under the name uncultured bacterium. RNAcentral describes it as "partial 16S ribosomal RNA". It matches the Rfam family "Bacterial small subunit ribosomal RNA", at positions 524 to 776 of the family's 1533-position model. The record is from RNAcentral.
GACGUAGGGCGCGAGCGUUGUCCGGAAUUAUUGGGCGUAAAGGGCUCGUAGGCGGUCUGUUGCGUCAGGAGUGAAAACUCGGGGCUUAACCCCGAGCCUGCUUCUGAUACGGGCAGACUAGAGGUAUGCAGGGGAGAACGGAAUUCCUGGUGUAGCGGUGAAAUGCGUAGAUAUCAGGAGGAACACCGGUGGUGUAGACGGCUAUCUGGACCGUAACUGACGCUGAGGCACGAAAGCGUGGGUAGCAAACAGG